Molecule: non-coding RNA, 414 nt
Organism: Fukomys damarensis (Damara mole-rat)
Lineage: Eukaryota; Metazoa; Chordata; Mammalia; Rodentia; Bathyergidae
Source: the annotation of a RefSeq genome assembly
AUGGCUAUGGGCAUCAAGACCUGCUGUGUGGCUCUGUGUGUCCUGCUAGCAAAGGACACAAAUGCUGGGGUCGCUCAGACACCCAGGCAUGAGUUAACAAAGAGGGGACAAGCUGUAACUCUGAAAUGUGAGCCAGUUUCAGGCCACACUGACCUUUGCUGGUACAGAGAAACUGUGGUGGGGAGACUGGAAUUGCUGGCAUACUUCCGCAGCAGAACUCUUAUAAAUGAAGGGGAAAUGCCCAAGGAUCGCUUCACAGCUCAGAUGCCUGAUGCAUCGUUCUCCACCCUGAAGAUCCAUCCCGCAGAACCCAGUGACACAGCUGUGUAUCUCUGCGCCAGCAGCUUAGCCACAGCAUUGUGGAGCCAUCCCCUGCCAGCUCAGAAACCCUGGGGUGUCCCCUUCUCCCUCUAG